CAGACAUGGUGGAUAGGUCGCCUCGCAUCGUCCUACGAUCAGCACCAGCCAGCAGACCCACAGCGACAAACCUCUAUAAGCCAUUCUGAGGACUGUAACAACUUUUCACAAAAUUUGGCAACUCACGUGUGCUUUCCUAACGCACCUGUUAAUGAACAACUGGAAUCAACACACAGCCUGAGGGAGGUGGUCAGACAAUAAUAACCUUCUCACCAUUGUUCCAAGGUCCAUCAAAACCAAUAAUCACACACACUUCACAUCAUCAGGGAUCGUGUCAAUUCCAGUCAGUUCAAGAAGUACACUGGAAUUGGGUUUGCUUUCUGAAUUGCCCUUAACCCUGCACAUCACACAACCACAAUACACACAGUCCAGUACACAGCCAUAGGCCUGUAGAGGGCAUGUAGGCCUAUGGGGCAGUGGGAAUUACUGGGGGCCAGGGAAGGCUAAAUAAUUUCUAUAAAAUGUCAUUUGUACUGCUACAGUGGUAAAUAUGAAAAUAAAACUAUUCCAAAUGAAAUCGGAAA
This is a long non-coding RNA of Oncorhynchus kisutch (coho salmon), 524 nucleotides long. RefSeq lists it as uncharacterized. The record is from RefSeq and is a predicted model, not a curated record. Lineage: Eukaryota; Metazoa; Chordata; Actinopteri; Salmoniformes; Salmonidae. The transcript is spliced from 2 exons.